GUGAAGAAACGGCAGCAGGCAGACUUGGCUAAUAAAGACAGGACCAUACAGCAACUGAAAACGGAACAGUCUGCUGACGAGAACCUCAAGCUCUGUCCGAACGUCUGUAAAGCUGUGUACUGAGAAACAUCAAGCUGACAGGAGGAAGUGGCUUGAAGAGAAGACUGUUCUGAUCCGGCUGGCCGAGGAUAAGAGGAACCAGGAGAUGAGGAAGUUUGCAGACGGCCGCAAGCGUCACGCCAAACAGCAAACACAAGUGGAAGGUCUGGUGGCCCAGCUCACUGAGAAGGAGCAGGACCUAGUGAAGUGGAGGAAAGAGAGAGAGGGACUCCCUGGUGACAGCUCUGGAGGUCCAGCUAACCAAACUCCUCUCCAGCAUCGCAGACAAGGAUGA
Molecule: long non-coding RNA, 394 nt
Filed under: Salmo trutta (river trout)
Lineage: Eukaryota; Metazoa; Chordata; Actinopteri; Salmoniformes; Salmonidae
Description: lncRNA (ENSSTUG00000031193.1)
Source: RNAcentral